GACGAACGCUGGCGGCGUGCUUAACACAUGCAAGUCGAACGGAAAGGCCCUGGUUUUGUGGGGUGCUCGAGUGGCGAACGGGUGAGUAACACGUGAGUAACCUGCCCUGGACUUUGGGAUAACUUCAGGAAACUGGGGCUAAUACCGGAUAGGAGCUCCUGCUGCAUGGUGGGGGUUGGAAAGUUUCGGCGGUUGGGGAUGGACUCGCGGCUUAUCAGCUUGUUGGUGGGGUAGUGGCUUACCAAGGCUUUGACGGGUAGCCGGCCUGAGAGGGUGACCGGCCACAUUGGGACUGAGAUACGGCCCAGACUCCUACGGGAGGCAGCAGCGGGGAAUAUUGCACACUGGGCGGAAGCCUGAUGCAGCAACGCCGCGUGCGGGAUGACGGCCUUCGGGUUGUAAACCGCUUUCGCCUGUGACGAAGCGUGAGUGACGGUAAUGUGUAAAGAAGCACCGGCUAACUACGUG
This 468-nucleotide ribosomal RNA is filed under the name uncultured bacterium. RNAcentral's name for it is "partial 16S ribosomal RNA". It matches the Rfam family "Bacterial small subunit ribosomal RNA", at positions 28 to 507 of the family's 1533-position model. The record is from RNAcentral.